CUGAAGUACACAGCAUUUUGCAAUAUUUAGUGGUAUUUGCCACUUCUCGCUCCAUUGGAAGAUUAAAUUAAGUUGGUCUUGCAAGUCCGUGACAAGUGGGUUAGCAAAUAACUUAAUAUCAUCCGCAUAUGCUGAAUAGCUGUCCAGUGAAAACAAUAAAUCUGCUGUAUAUAACAAGAAUAAAAUUGGUCCAAGAACUGAUCCCUGUGGGACCCCACUUAAUACUGGUUUAGAGUACGAAAAUUUACCACAGACUUUUACACAAUAGUUUCGAUUUGAUAGAAACGCUCGGAUCCAAUCAAGCAAAUUUCCUGUUACACCAUAGGACUCCAGUUUUGCUAACAAGAGAUUGUGAGGGACUUUAUCAAAGGCUUUACUAAAAUCAAGAAAAAUUAUGUCUACAGGUUGGUUAGUGUCUAACAUUUUUGUCCAUAGAUUUGUGCAGGAUAGCAAAUUUGUGACAACUGACCUACCUGGUAAAAAGCCGUGCUGAUGCUCAGCAUGUCGACGUGAGACUUACAGGUCUAUAGUUAGCAGGAUCAAGUUUAUCUCCUGACUUGUACAAAGGCGUGAUUGUUGCUUGCAACCACUCGUAGGGCAAAGUGCCUUGUAAGAAUGAUUUUGUCAUCAUUUUGGCAAGUGGGCCCGACAACGAAGCAGCACAAGUUCUCAGGAGUUUGGGAGGUAUCUGAUCCGGACCUGGAGCUGUAUUUAAUUUAAUGGCACAGAGUUGGCUUUUUACCAGAUCCGGAGUAAAAUUAAUAUAAGACAACCCACUAAAUGUAGCAGCAAAACUGUCCGCUAAAGUGUUUGCAGUUUCUGUAUGAUCGGAGCAGAGUAGACCUGAAGCAUUUCGUACUAAAGGGACCGACACACGACUAGAGAUAAAUUUACGUACAUGGGAAUAAAAUAGUUUUGGUUUAUUUAAUAUAGAAUUUUCAUAAUUACACCUGGCUAUUUGUAAAUCAGAUUUUAGUUGGUUAGAAAAUCUUUUAUAAGCAGAAAAAUUAUCUUCAGUAGGCUUCCUUUUAAAUUUUUUCCAUAAUUUAGCUUUGUAUUUUAUUUUGUCAAGCAUGUGUUGAUUUAUCCACGGUUUAUCUUUUCUCAGUCGGUUUGUAAACAGUCUGGAAUUUGUUGUAAUGCAAGUUUGUAAAAUCGAUUUAAAAUGUUUCCAUUGUUCUUCCGCAUUUAGUGAAUCUAAACCAUUCCAGUCGUAAGUCAAGAGACUUUCGUCUAUGCGAGUGUAGUCAACAAUUGAUGUUGUUUUAAUUCUUGCAUUUGGCUCUGAAUAUAUCAUAAUUUGUAACUCAA
Long non-coding RNA from Tribolium castaneum (red flour beetle), 1311 nucleotides. RefSeq lists it as uncharacterized. The record is from RefSeq and is a predicted model, not a curated record. The transcript has 3 exons. Lineage: Eukaryota; Metazoa; Arthropoda; Insecta; Coleoptera; Tenebrionidae.